AAAUUAGAAGGCAUCUUUUAAUUUUUAAAAAACCUUUUUUGAAAGGUAUACUUAAAGAGGGGCUUGCGGCACAUUAGUUAGUUGGUAGGGUAAAAGCCUACCAAGACCAUGAUGUGUAGCUGGACUGAGAGGUUGAACAGCCACAUUGGGACUGAGACACGGCCCAAACUCCUACGGGAGGCAGCAGUAGGGAAUUUUCGGCAAUGGAGGAAACUCUGACCGAGCAACGCCGCGUGAACGAUGAAGUAUUUCGGUAUGUAAAGUUCUUUUAUUGAAGAAGAAAAAAUAGUGGAAAAACUAUCUUGACGAUAUUCAAUGAAUAAGCCCCGGCAAACUAUGUGCCAGCAGCCGCGGUAAUACAUAGGGGGCGAGCGUUAUCCGGAAUUAUUGGGCGUAAAGGGUGCGUAGGCGGUUUGGUAAGUCUAUAGUUUAAUUUCAGUGCUUAACACUGUUCUGCUAUAGAAACUAUCAGACUAGAGUGAGAUAGAGGCAAGUGGAAUUCCAUGUGUAGCGGUAAAAUGCGUAAAUAUAUGGAGGAACACCAGAGGCGUAGGCGGCUUGCUGGGUCUUUACUGACGCUGAGGCACGAAAGCGUGGGGAGCAAACAGGAUUAGAUACCCUGGUAGUCCACGCCGUAAACGAUGAGUACUAAGUGUCGGGGAAACUCGGUACUGAAGUUAACACAUUAAGUACUCCGCCUGAGUAGUACGUACGCAAGUAUGAAACUUAAAGGAAUUGACGGGACUCCGCACAAGCGGUGGAUCAUGUUGUUUAAUUCGAAGAUACACGAAAAACCUUACCAGGUCUUGACAUACUCUGCAAAGCUAUAGCAAUAUAGUGGAGGUUAUCAGGGAUACAGGUGGUGCAUGGUUGUCGUCAGCUCGUGUCGUGAGAUGUUAGGUUAAGUCCUAAAACGAGCGCAACCCUUGUCACUAGUUGCCAGCAUGUUAUGAUGGGCACUUUAGUGAGACUGCCAAUGAAAAAUUGGAGGAAGGUGAGGAUCACGUCAAAUCAUCAUGCCCCUUAUGAUCUGGGCUACAAACGUGAUACAAUGGCUGUUACAAAGAGUAGCUAAAACGCGAGUUUAUAGCCAAUCUCAUAAAAGCAGUCUCAGUUCGGAUUGAAGUCUGCAACUCGACUUCAUGAAGUUGGAAUCGCUAGUAAUCGCGAAUCAGCAUGUCGCGGUGAAUACGUUCUCGGGGUUUGUACACACCGCCCGUCAAACCACGAAAGUUGGUAAUACUCAAAAACGGUAGCCUAACUUCUUCGGAAGAGGGAACUGU
RNAcentral lists this ribosomal RNA (1283 nucleotides) under 'Synedrella nodiflora' phytoplasma. RNAcentral's name for it is "bacterial SSU rRNA". It matches the Rfam family "Bacterial small subunit ribosomal RNA", at positions 173 to 1456 of the family's 1533-position model. The record is from RNAcentral. Lineage: Bacteria; Bacillati; Mycoplasmatota; Mollicutes; Acholeplasmatales; Acholeplasmataceae.